Molecule: long non-coding RNA, 655 nt
Organism: Arachis duranensis
Lineage: Eukaryota; Viridiplantae; Streptophyta; Magnoliopsida; Fabales; Fabaceae
Exons: 3
Source: RefSeq, a predicted model, not a curated record
UCAUCAAAACUUAGACUUGACAAUCCAUUGAAAUCACCAACGAAAAAUCCGUCGGUAAUUAGUGUCAGACGAAAAAAUCUGCAAGUAAAGUGUUUCUAGCUCCAUUUAUACCGUCAACUACAGGACGAGGAUAAAUCUGACGGUAAUUAACAUUUUCUUGUAGUGGAGGAGUGAAAGGGGCGAAAUGGACUAUAAUAGGGUUGGGGAGGGCUCGAUGGGAAGGGACUUCUCCCUCUAAGACGGGCCGUGCGAAUAGCUUUUGGUUCUAACUCAACCAUUGAUGAGCGUAAUCACUGGGUAUAUUGUCGAUCUCGAUUGAUGGAUGCUAUAAACGGCUGCAGUGACACCGACAACAUCUGUGAAGAGGAAGAAAGGAUUUUCUUGAUUACUCAAAAUGCCAGUAUAUGCCAAGCAGAAAUGGAAGCUGGUCCGUUCGAAGCGCGGAGGCUGGCGAUAGAAGCCUUGAAGGCGAAGGUUACCAAGUUCCAUUGCUGUUUUCUACCAAAAACGAUCCCUCAAAACAGUUUAUAGAGGCAUUGCGGUGGCCAUGGUGGAAACCAUUAUGGCGAGUUGUCGAUUGAAAUGGAAGAUGUCGAAUAAGGGGUUGAAAAGUGGGCCAAACACAGCAAAAGUCCUUUAAUUCCAAAUGUUUGCU